GGGCCUUUAGCUCAGUUGGCUAGAGCACCUGCUUUGCAAGCAGGGGGUCGAGGGUUCGAAUCCCUCAAGGUCCACCA
This 77-nucleotide transfer RNA is filed under the name Candidatus Uhrbacteria bacterium CG_4_10_14_0_2_um_filter_41_7. RNAcentral's name for it is "tRNA-Ala". It matches the Rfam family "tRNA". Rfam says of the family: Transfer RNA (tRNA) molecules are approximately 80 nucleotides in length. Their secondary structure includes four short double-helical elements and three loops (D, anti-codon, and T loops). RNAcentral also lists the same sequence under 2 other names. Lineage: Bacteria; Candidatus Uhriibacteriota. The record is from RNAcentral.